RNAcentral lists this long non-coding RNA (635 nucleotides) under Gallus gallus (chicken). Lineage: Eukaryota; Metazoa; Chordata; Aves; Galliformes; Phasianidae. The record is from RNAcentral.
CUGCAACUAUAUUUAACUGAAGAGCUGGCAGCAAGGAGAGACACCAGAUGCACGGAAUCUUCCUAAUCCUUUACAAGAGAGUCCUCCUCCUUUCACAAGAGGAACAUUCUGGUUGGUGGCUAUCUGCUUACUGGACUAUACCUUCCCUGACGUAUGGAUUCAACACUGUUUUUGUUGGAGUAGUUCAUUAUUACAUCAUAAAGACAAGUCUGCGGCUUCUGGAUUGCUGCUUCAACAGAAGUGGAGUUCAGAGCACUGCAAAAGCAUGAUGCUGAAGAGGAGAUUGACAGAAUUUCCAGGCUCAGCACUGCAAUCAGUUACAGCCAUCUCUCUCUUUCCAAACAACAAUACCCCUUCUGGGCAGCAGUGAUUGAUGUUUGGCUUUCACUCAGAAGCAAAUCUUUGCAAGGAUUGGAAAGUUUGAAUGUAAUCAUUUGGCUGCCUUGCAGUUAUCUCAAGUGAGCAAAAAUGUUUUUCAUCUGUUAGGAACUUUGUUCAGCUCAAGGCAGCUGAAACAUCAUCCCAACACUUCACAAGCCUAUACGCUUCUCCCUUUAGUGUUUUUUUUUGUCAGAUUCGGGACCUAGACUCUAUAGGAACUGCUUAAAGUGAAUAAAACCCAAAUGCUUGGCACU